RNAcentral lists this ribosomal RNA (169 nucleotides) under uncultured bacterium. RNAcentral's name for it is "partial 16S ribosomal RNA". It matches the Rfam family "Bacterial small subunit ribosomal RNA", at positions 338 to 524 of the family's 1533-position model. The record is from RNAcentral.
CCUACGGGAGGCAGCAGUGGGGAAUAUUGCACAAUGGGCGCAAGCCUGAUCCAGCCAUGCCGCGUGAGUGAUGAAGGCCCUAGGGUUGUAAAGCUCUUUCACCGGUGAAGAUAAUGACGGUAACCGGAGAAGAAGCCCCGGCUAACUUCGUGCCAGCAGCCGCGGUAAU